Molecule: long non-coding RNA, 696 nt
Filed under: Ricinus communis (castor bean)
Lineage: Eukaryota; Viridiplantae; Streptophyta; Magnoliopsida; Malpighiales; Euphorbiaceae
Description: long non-coding RNA (RCOM_LNC002634)
Source: RNAcentral
UACAUUGUACUCAUCUGAGUCUUUAACUUGAAACUUAUAGGAGGGACAUCCGCAAUGUAUACUCGCCUAAAGAUAUCGUAUAGAAGAGCUACAAGAUUGGAGAGAGUUAUAAGAUCGCUAGAAGAGUUAUGAGAUCGCUGGAAGAGUUAUGAGAUCAUAUAAAGAACUAUGAGAUCACCAGAAAAGCUAUAAGAUCUCCCACAUAUCACACAACUCAUGAUCUCCAUCAGUUAUCAUAAUCAAGCACCACGUUCUUCACUUCUUGAAAAAUAGGAGACCAUAUUCCUACCAUUCAAGGUGCUUAUCAAUAACUCUUAUGUAUAGAACUCCAUAAUAUAUUCGAUACAGAUCUUCCCAGUAUAUAUCUCUUAUGUAGAUCUCCACAAUAUAGAUCUCAAUAACCAUUUUAGCUCUUCAAGCAAUAUAAGUCUAAACAUUAUUGGUGUGAUGUACAACUAAGCCUUAGCUUAAUAGAUUUUCAUAUUUCGAGUCUUUAACUCGGAACUUAUAGGGGGACAUGUGAUACGGGCUCGCCUAAAUAGAUUGCUACACGCGACCAAGAGCUUGCCUAAUUAUGAUUCCAACUGAUCCUUGAUAAAGAUCGGUUAAUUAAAGAGACAGAUAUUCACUCUAAUGCAACCUAUUUCUUUGUAUACUCGAAAUAGGACUCUUAUCUAUGUUAAUGAGGCCAUGGAC